GUUUUGAUCCGUAGAUACCCGAAUGAGGAAACUCCGUGAACUUCUUUCUGAAUUUAUAGGAAAGAAAGAGCAAACCUAGCGAACUGAAACAUCUUAGUAGCUAGAGGAAAAGAAAGCAAAAGCGAUUCCCUGAGUAGCGGCGAGCGAAACGGGAACAGCCUAAACUACCUGUUUUCAGGUAGGGUCGUGGGACAGUAACAAAGAACUUG
Molecule: ribosomal RNA, 209 nt
Filed under: uncultured Mallomonas
Lineage: Eukaryota; Synurophyceae; Synurales; Mallomonadaceae
Description: partial Bacterial large subunit ribosomal RNA
Rfam family: Bacterial large subunit ribosomal RNA
Source: RNAcentral